RNAcentral lists this ribosomal RNA (79 nucleotides) under Serratia liquefaciens. The record is from RNAcentral. RNAcentral also lists the same sequence under 9 other names. Lineage: Bacteria; Pseudomonadati; Pseudomonadota; Gammaproteobacteria; Enterobacterales; Yersiniaceae.
CCUGGCGGCAAUAGCGCGGUGGUCCCACCUGACCCCAUGCCGAACUCAGAAGUGAAACGCCGUAGCGCCGAUGGUAGUG